AUAUAUAGAUAUAGGAAGAUGUGGUGUGAGUGCCAAUGAGACAACUCUCUAUCCAAAUAACAAUUUAUAAAAGUAAACCAUUCUAGGUCAAUGUACGGCCUUCAACACGGAGCCUUGGCUCACACCGAACAACAAGCUAUAAAGGGCCCCAAAAUUACUAGUGUAAAACCAUCCAAACGGGAAAACCAACGGCCUAAUCUAUAUAAAAAA
This 210-nucleotide long non-coding RNA is filed under the name Mytilus galloprovincialis (Mediterranean mussel). The record is from RNAcentral. Lineage: Eukaryota; Metazoa; Mollusca; Bivalvia; Mytilida; Mytilidae.